This 301-nucleotide ribosomal RNA is filed under the name uncultured bacterium. RNAcentral describes it as "partial 16S ribosomal RNA". It matches the Rfam family "Bacterial small subunit ribosomal RNA", at positions 509 to 807 of the family's 1533-position model. The record is from RNAcentral.
CAGUAGCCGCGGGAAUACGAAGGGGGCUAGCGUUGUUCGGAAUUACUGGGCGUAAAGCGCACGUAGGCGGAUAUUUAAGUCAGGGGUGAAAUCCCAGAGCUCAACUCUGGAACUGCCUUUGAUACUGGGUAUCUUGAGUAUGGAAGAGGUUAGUGGAAUUGCGAGUGUAGAGGUGAAAUUCGUAGAUAUUCGCAGGAACACCAGUGGCGAAGGCGGCUAACUGGUCCAUAACUGACGCUGAGGUGCGAAAGCGUGGGGAGCAAACAGGAUUAGAGACCCCGGUAGUCCCUGUCUCUUAUAC